This 72-nucleotide transfer RNA is filed under the name Actinomycetes bacterium. RNAcentral's name for it is "Actinobacteria bacterium (marine metagenome) tRNA-Pro". It matches the Rfam family "tRNA". From Rfam's summary of the family: Transfer RNA (tRNA) molecules are approximately 80 nucleotides in length. Their secondary structure includes four short double-helical elements and three loops (D, anti-codon, and T loops). Further hydrogen bonds mediate the characteristic L-shaped molecular structure. tRNAs have two regions of fundamental functional importance: the anti-codon, which is responsible for specific mRNA codon recognition, and the 3' end, to which the tRNAs corresponding amino acid is attached (by aminoacyl-tRNA synthetases). tRNAs cope with the degeneracy of the genetic code in two manners: having more than one tRNA (with a specific anti-codon) for a particular amino acid; and 'wobble' base-pairing, i.e. permitting non-standard base-pairing at the 3rd anti-codon position. The record is from RNAcentral. RNAcentral also lists the same sequence under 1 other name. Lineage: Bacteria; Bacillati; Actinomycetota; Actinomycetes.
AAGCGAUGUGGCGCAGCCAGGUAGCGCACCUGCUUUGGGAGCAGGGGGUCGGGAGUUCAAAUCUCCCCAUCC